CUAGGGUGGAAAAACAUUUGAGUGGGACAAAAGAGGGCAGAUCUCCUCAGUAGUUGCACCUAGAUCAGGAGCAGCGAACCCCAGGCCCAGGAACCAGGGCCCUCCAGGUUGUUUAGGUCUUUGUGAAUUAACAGGAGAACCUUGAACAACAGCCCCAAAUCAAGUUAUUGAACAAGACAGACAGUAACCUCAGAGAUACAUGAGAACAUCAGGCGAGCUCCUUGAUCAGAUUCAUCUGGGGCAGCAUCCUGUUUUGAAAAAUGACCAUCCAGAGAAUGCACCUCCAGCAGAGACCGUUCAUGUGGCCUAAACUGAAUGCAACAAUCCAGAUGGCACUCUGGCUAGCCUGCCUCCCGUCAACCAGAGAGCUCUGUUGCUCAGGUUUCCUGCUUAAGAACAUAUUA
Molecule: long non-coding RNA, 404 nt
Filed under: Podarcis muralis (Common wall lizard)
Lineage: Eukaryota; Metazoa; Chordata; Lepidosauria; Squamata; Lacertidae
Description: lncRNA (ENSPMRG00000020557.1)
Source: RNAcentral